CUGAAUUGAUGCCGUGUAGAUUGUCUGCCAUCGCUACUAUGUAGCUUCUCUGAGUAUUUGAUCUUAUUACAUUUUCUCUUUGGUUGCGAUGAUGAUGUUGCUAAUAUAUAUGUCUGGACUUAUGAGAUUAUUCAAUCUUUGAAAUGAUUGUGCAACCUUCUGAGCUUACUAUCAAUAUUAAGAACCUGUUUUUUU
RNAcentral lists this small RNA (195 nucleotides) under Arabidopsis thaliana (thale cress). RNAcentral describes it as "ATSL072860". Lineage: Eukaryota; Viridiplantae; Streptophyta; Magnoliopsida; Brassicales; Brassicaceae. The record is from RNAcentral.